RNAcentral lists this ribosomal RNA (454 nucleotides) under uncultured Pseudomonas sp. RNAcentral's name for it is "bacterial SSU rRNA". It matches the Rfam family "Bacterial small subunit ribosomal RNA", at positions 925 to 1382 of the family's 1533-position model. The record is from RNAcentral. Lineage: Bacteria; Pseudomonadati; Pseudomonadota; Gammaproteobacteria; Pseudomonadales; Pseudomonadaceae.
ACAAGCGGUGGAGCAUGUGGUUUAAUUCGAUGAUACGCGAGGAACCUUACCUGGGCUCAAAUGUAUGUUGACGUAUUCUGGAAGGGAUACUUCUUCGGACAAUAUACAAGGUGCUGCAUGGUUGUCGUCAGCUCGUGUCGUGAGAUAUUGGGUUAAGUCCCGUAACGAGCGCAACCCUUGUCCUUAGUUACCAGCACGUUAUGGUGGGCACUCUAAGGAGACUGCCGGUGCAAACCGGAGGAAGGUGGGGGUGACGUCAAGUCAUCAUGGCCCUUACGGCCUGGGCUACACACGUGCUACAAUGGUCGGUACAAAGGGUUGCCAAGCCGCGAGGUGGAGCUAAUCCCAUAAAACCGAUCGUAGUCCGGAUCGCAGUCUGCAACUCGACUGCGUGAAGUCGGAAUCGCUAGUAAUCGUGAAUCAGAAUGUCACGGUGAAUACGUUCCCGGGCCUU